UCGGCGACCUUCUCUUUACG
This 20-nucleotide unclassified non-coding RNA is filed under the name Chlamydomonas reinhardtii. RNAcentral describes it as "small RNA Cre_2700". The record is from RNAcentral. Lineage: Eukaryota; Viridiplantae; Chlorophyta; Chlorophyceae; Chlamydomonadales; Chlamydomonadaceae.